This 619-nucleotide ribosomal RNA is filed under the name uncultured bacterium. RNAcentral's name for it is "bacterial SSU rRNA". It matches the Rfam family "Bacterial small subunit ribosomal RNA", at positions 55 to 683 of the family's 1533-position model. The record is from RNAcentral.
AUGCAGUCGAGCGAGAUCCAUCCGGUAGCAAUACUGGUGAAGAUCGAGCGGCGAACGGGUGAGUAACACGUGAGAAACCUGCCCCGAAGACUGGGAUAACCCGAGGAAACUCGGGCUAAUACCGGAUACCCCCACCAGGUCACAUGUCCAGGUGAGGAAAUGCUCCGGCGCUUUGGGAGGGUCUCGCGGCCUAUCAGCUAGUUGGUGAGGUAACGGCUCACCAAGGCAUCGACGGGUAGCUGGUCUGAGAGGACGAUCAGCCACACUGGGACUGAGACACGGCCCAGACUCCUACGGGAGGCAGCAGUGGGGAAUCUUGCGCAAUGGGCGAAAGCCUGACGCAGCAACGCCGCGUGGGGGAUGAAGGCUUUCGGGUCGUAAACCCCUUUCAGGAGGGACGAAAAUGACGGUACCUCCAGAAGAAGCCCCGGCCAACUACGUGCCAGCAGCCGCGGUAACACGUAGGGGGCAAGCGUUGUCCGGAUUUAUUGGGCGUAAAGAGCUCGUAGGCCGCUUGGUAAGUCGGGUGUGAAAUUUCGAGGCUCAACCUCGAAACGCCAUCCGAUACUGCUAUGGCUAGAGUCCGGUAGAGGAGCGUGGAAUUCCUGGUGUAGCGGUG